RNAcentral lists this long non-coding RNA (1050 nucleotides) under Citrus x clementina. Its description in RNAcentral is "Citrus clementina (C. clementina) long non-coding RNA (CCLE_LNC002753)". The record is from RNAcentral. Lineage: Eukaryota; Viridiplantae; Streptophyta; Magnoliopsida; Sapindales; Rutaceae.
AGAGUUGUAUAGCUAUUUUCUGAUUUAUUGUUUCAGAGAUGUGUGAAUAUUUAAUUAACAAAAUAAAGCUAUAUACACUCUAUAUAUAUAUAUAUAUAGAAGAAAUGAAUCUAUUUCUUUUUUAUGUUCCGUCUUUUCUGUAGGAAAUCGAGAAUGAGAGAAAAUACGGCGUCGUUUUGCUUGAAGCUUCCCCCAUCGAAUGGCUUUCUCUUCCUCUUCAUUUCACCACACAACCCCAACAAUAGAACCGACCUGCAGAACCCUUAAACUGUUUUUUUUUUUUUUUUUUUUUUUUUUCAUUCUAUGCGAUAGGAUUUGGCUUAGAUUAAGCAAAACCAAAAGUUUUAACAAGGUAAGGUAUUGUCUUCUUUAGCUGCGAAUAUGUACAUAAACAAAAAGAAUUGAGUUGCAGCAUCUAACCUUGAAAAUUGAGUUUUAAUUCUAUGUGGCUUUGCCAUAAGGUAAGGUACUAUCUUCUUUGGCAGCAGAUUAUUUUCAAAGCUUGAAUUUUGUUGUUUUAAUUUGCGAAGCCAUAUUGUCGUUGCUGUUAAAUUGGGUUAAUAUUAUGGGAAAUAAGCUUAUGCUGCGAUGUUUUUGCUUGAAUCAUGAGCUGUGAGUUGUGGAUUGCGAAUGGUAAUUUCAGGUGCAGACUGUGGAUUGCUAAUGGAAAUUUGAGGCUGUGGCUGGAGCUGGAUCAAAGAAGGAAAGGGGAAAUAUUUGGCUGUGGCUGGAGCUGGUGGUUGGAUCUCAAUCGACAAAGGAAAGGGGAAAUAUUUGGUUGUGGCUGGAGCUUGUGGUUGGAGCUUGAAGCUCGAUCAACGAAGGAAAGACAAAGGAAAAUACUUGGGUGGAGCUCCAUCGACGAAGAAAAAGGGAAAUAUUUGGCAAACGAAAACGGCGUCAUUUUUUGUUUUAAUGAAAUGCUGCGUUUAAAUUUCGGAGUUUGGCCCGGGAUAAACAUCAUUUUCGUAAUUUAAUUAAGGGAUUGUUAUGUUACAGAAUCUGUAGCAUACACAUCCAAUGCAUGCACCACACCUGUCCUGCAUAUGG